This is a long non-coding RNA of Mastomys coucha (southern multimammate mouse), 139 nucleotides long. RefSeq lists it as uncharacterized. NCBI's taxonomy places the organism in Eukaryota, Metazoa, Chordata, Mammalia, Rodentia, Muridae. The transcript is spliced from 3 exons. The record is from RefSeq and is a predicted model, not a curated record.
ACGCACAAGAAACGAUGCAUAUAAGAGCCGUUUGGAUUUCUAAAGCACAUGACCCUCUCCUCCAACUUCAUGUAUGUUCUAAGAUCUGCAGGUGCAGGGUUGUCAUAAUGAGGCGGAAAGGCAAAUACGUAACCAGGUG